RNAcentral lists this ribosomal RNA (509 nucleotides) under uncultured bacterium. Its description in RNAcentral is "bacterial SSU rRNA". It matches the Rfam family "Bacterial small subunit ribosomal RNA", at positions 19 to 518 of the family's 1533-position model. The record is from RNAcentral.
AUGGCUCAGGAUGAACGCUAGCUACAGGCUUAACACAUGCAAGUCGAGGGGCAUCAGGAUGUAGCAAUACAUUGCUGGCGACCGGCGCACGGGUGAGUAACACGUAUCCAACCUGCCUUUUACUCGGGGAUAGGCUUUCGAAAGAAAAGAUUAAUACCCGAUGGUAUAAUAUUUCCGCAUGGGAUUAUUAUUAAAGAAUUUCGGUAAAAGAUGGGAUGCGUUCCAUUAGGCAGUUGGCGGGGUAACGGCCCACCAAACCUUACGAUGGAUAGGGGUUCUGAGAGGAAGGUCCCCCACCAUUGGAACUGAGACACGGUCCAAACUACCUACGGGAGGGCAGCAGUGAGGAAUAUUGGUCAAUGGGCGAAAGCCUGAACCAGCCAAGUAGCGUGAAGGAUGACUGCCCUAUGGGUUGUAAACUUCUUUUAUAGGGGAAUAAAAUGAGCCACGUGUGGCUUUUUGUAUGUACCCUAUGAAUAAGGAUCGGCUAACUCCGUGCCAGCCGCCGC